CAGCCGCGGUAAUACGGAGGAUCCGAGCGUUAUCCGGAUUUAUUGGGUUUAAAGGGAGCGUAGAUGGAUGUUUAAGUCAGUUGUGAUAGUUUGCGGCUCAACCGUAAAAUUGCAGUUGAUACUGGAUAUCUUGAGUGCAGUUGAGGCAGGCAGAAUUCGUGGUGUAGCGGUGAAAUGCUUAGAUAUCACGAAGAACUCCGAUUGCGAAGGCAGCCUGCUAAGCUGCAACUGACAUUGAGGCUCGAAAGUGUGGGUAUCAAACAGGAUUAGAUACCCUGGUAGUCCACACGGUAAACGAUGAAUACUCGCUGUUUGCGAUAUACAGCAAGCGGCCAAGCGAAAGCGUUAAGUAUUCCACCUGGGGAGU
RNAcentral lists this ribosomal RNA (367 nucleotides) under uncultured bacterium. RNAcentral describes it as "bacterial SSU rRNA". It matches the Rfam family "Bacterial small subunit ribosomal RNA", at positions 512 to 881 of the family's 1533-position model. The record is from RNAcentral.